This 253-nucleotide ribosomal RNA is filed under the name uncultured bacterium. Its description in RNAcentral is "partial 16S ribosomal RNA". It matches the Rfam family "Bacterial small subunit ribosomal RNA", at positions 524 to 776 of the family's 1533-position model. The record is from RNAcentral.
UACGAAGGGGGCUAGCGUUGCUCGGAAUCACUGGGCGUAAAGCGCACGUAGGCGGAUCUUUAAGUCAGGGGUGAAAGCCCAAGGCUCAACCUUGGAAUUGCCUUUGAUACUGAGGGCCUUGAGACCGGAAGAGGUCGGCGGAACUGCGAGUGUAGAGGUGAAAUUCGUAGAUAUUCGCAAGAACACCAGUGGCGAAGGCGGCCGACUGGUCCGGUUCUGACGCUGAGGCGCGAAAGCGUGGGGAGCAAACAGG